This 504-nucleotide ribosomal RNA is filed under the name uncultured Geobacter sp. RNAcentral describes it as "bacterial SSU rRNA". It matches the Rfam family "Bacterial small subunit ribosomal RNA", at positions 335 to 830 of the family's 1533-position model. Lineage: Bacteria; Pseudomonadati; Thermodesulfobacteriota; Desulfuromonadia; Geobacterales; Geobacteraceae. The record is from RNAcentral.
ACUCCUACGGGAGGCAGCAGUGGGGAAUUUUGCGCAAUGGGGGAAACCCUGACGCAGCAACGCCGCGUGAGUGAUGAAGGCCCUUGGGUCGUAAAGCUCUGACAGAGGGAAAGAAAUGCAGGGGAGCUAAUAUCUCCCUUGCUUGACGGUACCCUCAAAGGAAGCACCGGCUAACUCCGUGCCAGCAGCCGCGGUAAUACGGGGGGUGCAAGCGUUGUUCGGAUUUAUUGGGCGUAAAGCGCGUGUAGGCGGUUUUAUAAGUCUGAUGUGAAAGCCCUGGGCUCAACCCGGGAAGUGCAUUGGAUACUGUAAGACUUGAAUACGGGAGAGGGUAGUGGAAUUCCUAGUGUAGGAGUGAAAUCCGUAGAUAUUAGGAGGAACACCGGUGGCGAAGGCGGCUACCUGGACCGAUAUUGACGCUGAGACGCGAAAGCGUGGGUAGCAAACAGGAUUAGAUACCCUGGUAGUCCACGCCGUAAACGAUGAGAACUAGGUGUCGCGGGU